RNAcentral lists this ribosomal RNA (510 nucleotides) under Epeorus sp. HK-2018. RNAcentral's name for it is "partial 16S ribosomal RNA". It matches the Rfam family "Bacterial large subunit ribosomal RNA", at positions 1829 to 2601 of the family's 2925-position model. Lineage: Eukaryota; Metazoa; Arthropoda; Insecta; Ephemeroptera; Heptageniidae. The record is from RNAcentral.
CGCCUUUUGUCAGAAUAAAAGGUCUAGCCUGCCCACUGAAAAGUUAAAGGGCCGCGGUAUAUUGACCGUGCAAAGGUAGCAUAAUCAUUAGUCUUCUAAUUAAAGGCUGGAAUGAAUGGUUGGACGAGGUAUUAGCUGUCUCCCUAAAAUUAUCUAAAAUUUAACUUUUUAGUCAAAAGGCUGAAAUAAAAUUGGAGGACGAGAAGACCCUAUAGAUCUUUAUAUUGAAACCCUUUAACCACUUUAGAAGGGUUAAGGUUUAAUGGCUAAAAUAUUUUGUUGGGGUGACAGGAAGAUAAAUAAAACUAUUUUUAAUAUUUAAAACAUUGAUGUAUGAAUAUAUGAUCCGUAAUAACGAUUAAAAGACUAAGUUACCUUAGGGAUAACAGCGUAAUCUUUUUUGAGAGUUCUAAUCGACAAAAAGGGUUGCGACCUCGAUGUUGGACUAAGGGUUAUUCUUGGGUGUAGAAGUUCAAGGUUUAGGUCUGUUCGACCUUUGAAUCCUUACAU